RNAcentral lists this unclassified non-coding RNA (358 nucleotides) under soil metagenome. RNAcentral's name for it is "partial contains 5.8S ribosomal RNA, internal transcribed spacer 2, and large subunit ribosomal RNA". The stretch from base 1 to 120 matches the Rfam family "5.8S ribosomal RNA", at positions 35 to 154 of the family's 154-position model. The record is from RNAcentral.
GAUGAAGAACACAGCGAAAUGCGAUAAGUAAUGUGAAUUGCAGAAUUCAGUGAAUCAUCGAAUCUUUGAACGCACAUUGCGCCCGUCAGUAUUCUGGCGGGCAUGCCUGUUCGAGCGUCAUUACGCCCCUCAAGUCCCCUGUGGACUUGGUGUUGGGGAUCGGCGAGGCUGGUUUUCCAGCACAGCCGUCCCUUAAAUUAAUUGGCGGUCUCGCCGUGGCCCUCCUCUGCGCAGUAGUAAAACACUCGCAACAGGAGCCCGGCGCGGUCCACUGCCGUAAAACCCCCCAACUUUUUAUAGUUGACCUCGAAUCAGGUAGGACUCCCCGCUGAACUUAAGCAUAUCAAUAAGCGGAGGA